This 469-nucleotide ribosomal RNA is filed under the name PVB_OTU_4-like bacterium S3C16. RNAcentral's name for it is "bacterial SSU rRNA". It matches the Rfam family "Bacterial small subunit ribosomal RNA", at positions 498 to 982 of the family's 1533-position model. Lineage: Bacteria; Pseudomonadati; Pseudomonadota; Gammaproteobacteria. The record is from RNAcentral.
UAAUUCGUGCCAGCACGCGUAAUCGAAAGUGCAAGCGUGUUCGNAUUUACUGGCGUAAAGCGANUGUAGUUGUUUAUAAGUCGGAUGUGAAAUCCCAGGCUCAACCCUGGAACUGCAUCGAUACUGAUAGCUAGAGUUUGGAGGGGUAAGCGGAAUUCCGUGUGUAGCAGUGAAAUGCGUAGAUAUACGGGGAACACCUGAGGCGAAGGCGGCUUACUGGACCAAUACUGACACUGAGACUCGAAAGCGUGGGUAGCAAACAGGAUUAGAUACCCUGGUAGUCCACGCCCUAAACGAUGUCAACUAGCCGUUGCGGGUAUCGACCCCUGCAGUGGCGAANUAACGCGAUAAGUUGACCGCCUGGGGAGUACGGUCGCAAGAUUAAAACUCAAAGGAAUUGACGGGGGCCGCACAAGCGGUGGAGCAUGUGGUUUAAUUCGACGCAACGCGAAGAACCUUACCUGGGCUU